GAAGAGAGAGUUCAAGAGUACGCAAAACCAUUAGAACCUCAAACAGAUGGAACCAUGAAGGUCAAAAGAGGGGAUUCAGCUGGCGGGCGUUCGGCCUGGGGAGCGGUACAAGUUGCAUUUCAGUGAGAGGACUCGGUGUGAAAGGUGAGUUUCCGUGGCCCUUCUCUCCCAUGGUCUGAAUUGCUGGAGGGCUUAGUUCUCCCUCGAGUAGCAGUCGUGGCGACCCGCUGGCCGGACCCCGAGGUCUGCCCCGGACUGGUAGCCUGCACUGCUAUGUAGGUGACGACUGGCGGUGGCACCGACUGGGCCUGGGCGGCGGUCACUACAGGUCACCACGUGAGAGGGGUCUGUAAUCCACCCGACUCAUCUUUAAACACGGACCAAGGAGUCCAACAUGUGCACGAGUCUUAGGGUGUGCUAAACCCGGAGGCGAAAUGAAAGUGAGCCCCUGUUGUACAGAACGAUCCCCUGCCUGCAUCUGGCCCUGCGUGCUGCCUGCGAGAGAGAUUUUCUGCUGUGCUGCGGGUGCCGGCCCUUCACGUGGUUGGUCGGACUGCGGUUGGGGGCGCAGGGCUAAGAUUUGCUGUUGUGCGGUGCAGGCCAUGAGGCACCCUUGGGCAUCCUGCACUCCGACGUCCGCUGGCAAGUACCUGAGAGCACAGCCAUUGUGACUGAAAGAUGGUGAACUAUGCCUGGCGAGGACGAAGCCAGAGGAAACACUGGUGGAGGUCCGAAGCAGUUCUGACUUGCAAAUGAAUUGUCAGAGCUGGGUAUAGGUGUGAAAGACUAUAAAGCUGGUUCCCUCCGAAAUUUCCUUCAGGAUAGUUGGCAUUCUUUUUUAUGAGUUUCAUCCAGUAAAGCGAAUGAUUAGAGGCCUUGGUGGUGCAAUGCCAUCAACCCAUUUUCAAACUUUAAAUUGGUGGGAAGUGGAGUUCGCUCAACCCAUGAAGCUCUAUAAUGUGAGAAUCAGAGUGCCUAGUGGGCUACUUGGUAAGCAGAACUGGCGCUG
This 1009-nucleotide ribosomal RNA is filed under the name Palaemon debilis. RNAcentral's name for it is "partial 28S ribosomal RNA". It matches the Rfam family "Eukaryotic large subunit ribosomal RNA", at positions 378 to 1158 of the family's 3401-position model. The record is from RNAcentral. Lineage: Eukaryota; Metazoa; Arthropoda; Malacostraca; Decapoda; Palaemonidae.